RNAcentral lists this ribosomal RNA (456 nucleotides) under Triticum aestivum (bread wheat). RNAcentral's name for it is "partial small subunit ribosomal RNA". Lineage: Eukaryota; Viridiplantae; Streptophyta; Magnoliopsida; Poales; Poaceae. The record is from RNAcentral.
AAAUUCCACCAUCUCCCAAAAAGAGAUGUCUUAAAGAAAAAAUUAUCAAUCAUGCAAAGGUAUCUCUGCGGGAUGAAAUAUAUGACGAGAUUCUCAGACAUCCGGAUCAUCCUUGAUCAGCAAAAAGACUAUAUACUUCGAGAAUGUGUUAUUUUGGGGAUUUGUACUAUUUCUUUAGUCGAUGCAACUUGUGACCCGGAUCUCAUGAAUAUUUUGAUUCCAGCCAAUGAUGAUAUUAUGGCUUCAAUUCGAUUGAUUCUUAGCAAAUUAGUAUUUGCAAUUUGUGAGGGUCAUCCUCUCUACAUAAGAAAUCGAUCAAUACGAAUAUAUAGUGAAUUCUUGAGCAACUGCGUAGAUUUAUGGAAUCACUUACUCUUUUUUCUAGACAGAAAAAAGAAGGGGCUAGUACAACCUCCGAACUUUACUUAUAUUUUGAAGAGCAUCUCCAACACGUGA